This 254-nucleotide ribosomal RNA is filed under the name uncultured bacterium. Its description in RNAcentral is "partial 16S ribosomal RNA". It matches the Rfam family "Bacterial small subunit ribosomal RNA", at positions 524 to 776 of the family's 1533-position model. The record is from RNAcentral.
UACGUAGGGGGCGAGCGUUGUCCGGAUUUAUUGGGCGUAAAGAGCUCGUAGGCGGUUCGAUAAGUCGGACGUGAAAUCUCCACGCUCAACGUGGAGGGGCCGUUCGAUACUGUCGUGACUCGAGUCCGGUAGGGGAGUGUGGAAUUCCCGGUGUAGCGGUGAAAUGCGUAGAUAUCAGGAGGAACACCGGUGGCGAAGGCGGCUCUCUGGACCACAACUGACGCUGAGGCGCGAAAGCUAGGGGAGCAAACAGG